AAGAGGAGGAAGAAAGAAAGCUUUCCUUAUUCUUCUUUCUCCAAAUUUAAUAAAUCUGCCUUGGACUCACCAAUUUGAAUGAGCUCCAGUUCGGAAAGCACCGACUAAGAAGUCUGAGAGUGGUCACUUAACUACCAACAGUGAGCCUAAAACACUUGUUCAAUACACCGAGGCCCCCUGAGAGCAGAGACAACGCUGUGCCAGUGUCUGUUGUUCUUUCUUUCCCCUGCUCCACGGAAAACAGAUUUAUCUUGGACUGGGCAGCACCAGAUUUAACAUUGGCUCUCUUUGUGUUUCCAGGUCAAGUGGGAACACAUAUGCUCCCUACUGAGGAAAAUAAACUGCAGUGUAUUUUUAGCAUCCGCUGCAAGUGCUCACAGCUGAAGCUACGCAGGAUCCAGGCUAUUCACUGAAGGGCCCAGGACUGGCCGCCAUGCCACCUAGAAUUCCAGAACGUGCCCUGGGGGUCUAUCUCUCUAAUCCCACCUCUUUGUUCCACUGAGCUGAUGUGGGAAAAGUAGGAAAAUACAUAAAGGCAGCAAGGUCAAUGGCAGAUACCAUCCUGGAUACAUUACAACAAUCAUGUCUCCCAAGGGUCUGCUGGACUGUGACAGGUUCUCAGACUUUCAUUUCAAUGAACUUGACAGUUUUGAGGAGCACUCAUCAGCCUCAAUUCUGCAGUGAGACUCACUGAGCUGAUUAAGCACUUUUAAGAUCACAACAAGGACAAUCAUUCAGAUGGGUAGUGAUGCUCCUGGAACAUUCUGCAACCCUUGUUCAAAUGUAGCGCAUCCAUGCAUGGUUGACACCAUGGACCUAUUUACAUUCUGACGAUGUACUAUAAUGAUGGAAUCAUAUCUUUAUGUGCUUUACCUUUUAACAGAAUUUAAAGUAUUAGGAAAAGAGAUAUUAUGCCGGGGCUGACCAGCAGCCCCUAAGCAACCAAUGAAUGAUUACUCCGACACAACAUUUGCUGUGAAAGAGAGGGCUAAGGGACUGCCUGGCUAAACGAACCAGACGGCCUCAAUUGCCUGCCUCUUUAGCCUUUUAUUGUGAUAGCAGUUUGAGAUAAAGUUUAUCUGUUAGAUACAAUCAGUAGAGUAAGUAAUAUUGGGAGUACACAUGUGUCUGCAAUGUCCUUUAAGCAAGGACAUCAAAAGA
This is a long non-coding RNA of Pipistrellus kuhlii (Kuhl's pipistrelle), 1161 nucleotides long. RefSeq lists it as uncharacterized. The transcript has 4 exons. NCBI's taxonomy places the organism in Eukaryota, Metazoa, Chordata, Mammalia, Chiroptera, Vespertilionidae. The record is from RefSeq and is a predicted model, not a curated record.